RNAcentral lists this ribosomal RNA (372 nucleotides) under uncultured bacterium. RNAcentral's name for it is "bacterial SSU rRNA". It matches the Rfam family "Bacterial small subunit ribosomal RNA", at positions 524 to 898 of the family's 1533-position model. The record is from RNAcentral.
CACGUAGGGGGCAAGCGUUGUUCGGAAUUACUGGGCGUAAAGGGCAUGUAGGCGGUUUUGUAAGCCUGACGUGAAAGGCUAUGGCUUAACCAUGGCACUGCGUUGGGAACUGCGAGACUUGAAUCACGGAGGGGGAGCUGGAAUUCCAGGUGUAGGGGUGGAAUCUGUAGAUAUCUGGAAGAACACCAGUGGCGAAGGCGAGCUCCUGGCCGAUGAUUGACGCUGAGGUGCGAAAGUGUUGGGAUCAAACAGGAUUAGAGACCCUGGUAGUCCACACUGUCAACGAUGUGCACUAGGUGCUGGGGCGGACGCUUCAGUGCCGGAGCUAACGCAUUAAGUACCCCGCCUGGGGAGUACGGUCGCAAGGCUGAA